RNAcentral lists this unclassified non-coding RNA (153 nucleotides) under Candidatus Phytoplasma solani. RNAcentral describes it as "partial 16S-23S ribosomal RNA intergenic spacer". The stretch from base 64 to 137 matches the Rfam family "tRNA". The record is from RNAcentral. Lineage: Bacteria; Bacillati; Mycoplasmatota; Mollicutes; Acholeplasmatales; Acholeplasmataceae.
AAGGAUAAAGUUAUCAUCUUCAGUUUUGAGAGACUUAAGAAAGUUUUUCAUUUUUUAAGAUUCGGGCCUAUAGCUCAGCUGGUUAGAGCACACGCCUGAUAAGCGUGAGGUCGGUGGUUCAAGUCCAUUUAGGCCCACCAAAAUAGGUCACAU